UACGUAGGGUGCGAGCGUUAAUCGGAAUUACUGGGCGUAAAGCGUGCGCAGGCGGUUUGUUAAGUCGGAUGUGAAAUCCCUCGGCUCAACUGAGGAAGUGCAUCCGAAACUGGCAAGCUUGAGUACGAAAGAGGGUCGCGGAAUUCCCGGUGUAGAGGUGAAAUUCGUAGAUAUCGGGAGGAACACCGGUGGCGAAGGCGGCGACCUGGGUCGAUACUGACGCUGAGGUGCGAAAGCGUGGGGAGCAAACAGG
This 253-nucleotide ribosomal RNA is filed under the name uncultured bacterium. RNAcentral describes it as "partial 16S ribosomal RNA". It matches the Rfam family "Bacterial small subunit ribosomal RNA", at positions 524 to 776 of the family's 1533-position model. The record is from RNAcentral.